GCAAGUCGAACGAUCCCUUCGGGGAGAGUGGCGAAAGGGCGAGGAAUAGAAUCGAAUGUACCCCAAGGUGGGGGAUAGCCUCUGGAAACGGAGGGUAAUACCCCAUGUGCUCUACGGAGGAAAGGUUUACCGCCUUGGGAGCAGCGAUUCUCCUAUCAGGUAGUUGGUGAGGUAACGGCUCACCAAGCCGAAGACGGGUAGCGGGUGUGAGAGCAUGACCCGCCGCAUCGGGACUGAGACACUGCCCGGACUCCUACGGGAGGCUGCAGUAACGAAUCUUCCGCAAUGGGCGAAAGCCUGACGGAGCAAUGCCGCGUGUGGGAUGAAGCAUCUUCGAUGUGUAAACCACUGUCAGGGUCUAGGAAUACUGACCAGACCCAAAGGAAGGGCCGGCUAAUUCCGUG
This 404-nucleotide ribosomal RNA is filed under the name uncultured bacterium. RNAcentral's name for it is "bacterial SSU rRNA". It matches the Rfam family "Bacterial small subunit ribosomal RNA", at positions 57 to 507 of the family's 1533-position model. The record is from RNAcentral.